This 227-nucleotide unclassified non-coding RNA is filed under the name Hevea brasiliensis (rubber tree). The record is from RNAcentral. Lineage: Eukaryota; Viridiplantae; Streptophyta; Magnoliopsida; Malpighiales; Euphorbiaceae.
AGCUGGGAUAGUAAUGGCAGGGGGGGGGGCUUUGAAUUGGGGCUUAAGUUUCGUAACGAAUCGUGCUUGAAUCUGCCUUUCUUCUGCAUCCCCUUCCAUUUUCUCCAAUUCUCUAAUUGCAAACACUGGCAAAAUGAUACUACCAGAAACAGAUAAAAGAGAACAGUAGGAAAAUGAUGUUAGGGUUUUGUGAUGUUACUGAUGAGUAAGAAAAUCAGAGACGCAAC